Molecule: ribosomal RNA, 495 nt
Filed under: uncultured bacterium
Lineage: Bacteria
Description: bacterial SSU rRNA
Rfam family: Bacterial small subunit ribosomal RNA
Source: RNAcentral
GAUGAACGCUGGCGGCGUGCUUAACACAUGCAAGUCGAACGAUGAACCCCGCUUGCGGGGGGAUUAGUGGCGAACGGGUGAGUAACACGUGAGUAACCUGCCCUUAACUCUGGGAUAAGCCUUGGAAACGGGGUCUAAUACUGGAUAUUGACUUUUCCUCGCAUGGGGAUUGGUUGAAAGAUUUAUUGGUUUUGGAUGGACUCGCGGCCUAUCAGCUUGUUGGUGAGGUAAUGGCUCACCAAGGCGACGACGGGUAGCCGGCCUGAGAGGGUGACCGGCCACACUGGGACUGAGACACGGCCCAGACUCCUACGGGAGGCAGCAGUGGGGAAUAUUGCACAAUGGGCGAAAGCCUGAUGCAGCGACGCCGCGUGAGGGAUGACGGCCUUCGGGUUGUAAACCUCUUUCAGUAGGGAACAAGGCCAGUGUUUAGCUGGUUGAGGGUACUUGCAGAAGAAGCGCCGGCUAACUACGUGCCAGCAGCCGCCGUAACAC